Podarcis muralis (Common wall lizard) is the source of this 275-nucleotide non-coding RNA. NCBI's taxonomy places the organism in Eukaryota, Metazoa, Chordata, Lepidosauria, Squamata, Lacertidae. The record is from RefSeq and is a predicted model, not a curated record.
GAGUGGUACCUAUUUAUCUACUCACACUUUGACGUGCUUUCAAACUGCUAGUUCAAUGCACUCAACUUCAGUGAUAAAAGCAUCAAUGCCUAGGGAGGCACCUGGAGCCAGAAAGCAUCCCCAAAGCUCAGCAUGUCCUGGACUACAUCCCAACACUGAGUUGUCUUGAUUCAGAAACGAGGCUACAUGGAAGACUUCCCCAAGCCAUGACCUUCAAAGUCAUCACCAAAUCUAUGGAACGUCCUGUCGUUUAAGCACUGGGACGCUGCAAAGGA